UUGCACUGCGUACAUUGCGGUUGCUGCGCGCCGUCCACACCACCUGACGACUGCUCGCCAGGGGUGUUAGCC
This 72-nucleotide small RNA is filed under the name Xanthomonas cannabis. Its description in RNAcentral is "sX9 sRNA". It matches the Rfam family "Xanthomonas sRNA sX9". The record is from RNAcentral. Lineage: Bacteria; Pseudomonadati; Pseudomonadota; Gammaproteobacteria; Lysobacterales; Lysobacteraceae.